GACAGAGGUGCCAAGCGUUAGGCGGAAUCACUGGGCUUAAAGCGUGUGUGGGCGGAAUGGUAAGUACCUUGUGAAAUCCCACGGCUCAACCGUGGAACUGCUUGGUAUACUGCUUUUCUUGAGCCACUUAGGGGCAACCGGAACAAACGGUGGAGCGGUGAAAUGCGUAGAUAUCGUUUGGAACGCCAAUGGUGAAAACAGGUUGCUGGGAGUGUGCUGACGCUGAGACACGAAAGCCAGGGGAGCAAACGGG
RNAcentral lists this ribosomal RNA (253 nucleotides) under uncultured bacterium. RNAcentral's name for it is "partial 16S ribosomal RNA". It matches the Rfam family "Bacterial small subunit ribosomal RNA", at positions 524 to 776 of the family's 1533-position model. The record is from RNAcentral.